This 389-nucleotide ribosomal RNA is filed under the name Stramenopiles sp. MAST-1C. RNAcentral describes it as "partial small subunit ribosomal RNA". It matches the Rfam family "Eukaryotic small subunit ribosomal RNA", at positions 582 to 975 of the family's 1831-position model. The record is from RNAcentral.
AUUCCAGCUCCAAUAGCGUAUAUUAAUGUUGUUGCAGUUAAAAAGCUCGUAGUUGGAUUUCUGGUGGGAGCGGCCGGUCCGCCGUAAGGUGUGUACUUGGUUGUCUCCUGUCAUCCUUGUGGGAACUGCUCUGGCAUUAAGUUGUCGGGGUUAGGGAACACAUCGUUUACUGUGAAAAAAUUAGAGUGUUUAAAGCAGGCUUAUGCCGUUGAAUACAUUAGCAUGGAAUAAUAAGAUAGGACUUUGGCGUCUAUUUUGUUGGUUUGCACACCAAGGUAAUGAUUGAUAGGGAUAGUUGGGGGUGCUAGUAUUGAGCGGCCAGAGGUGAAAUCCUUGGAUUCGCUCAAGACUAACUUAUGCGAAAGCAUUCACCAAGGAUGUCUUCAUUA